Molecule: non-coding RNA, 21 nt
Filed under: Arabidopsis thaliana (thale cress)
Lineage: Eukaryota; Viridiplantae; Streptophyta; Magnoliopsida; Brassicales; Brassicaceae
Source: RNAcentral
GUAGGGACCUCAAGAAUACAG